Molecule: transfer RNA, 72 nt
Filed under: Camelus bactrianus (Bactrian camel)
Lineage: Eukaryota; Metazoa; Chordata; Mammalia; Artiodactyla; Camelidae
Also listed under: 2 other names
Rfam family: tRNA
About the family: Transfer RNA (tRNA) molecules are approximately 80 nucleotides in length.
Source: Rfam by way of RNAcentral
GGGGGUGUAGCUCACUGGUAGAGCACACCCUUACCGUGCACAAGGUGCUGGGUUCAAUCCCCGGUACCUCCA